AUGGCAGAGCCAGAACUAGAACCCUGGUCUCUUGUCGUCCUGGGCUGAAGGACUCUGAAAGAGCUGCUUCAUCCCUGGGAGCCUCGGGACCCUCACAUAUGAAGGGGGGGCCUCAGAGGUAAAGUGGAGGGGCCGAUUCCUCUUUUGAAUGGAGGGUCACAUGUCCCCCUGGAUAUAAAAAGAAGAUGAGGUCCCGCGCAAAUUGUUUUGCAGAGAGAAUGAGCUAUCGGGAAAGGCAUUCUGAACAACAGCGUAAACAAAGGCAGGAAGGCAAGGGAGAGCAGGCUCUGUUUCAGGGCAGCUGUGGCUGGGGAAGAAACAGGAAAUGAAGUUAAAAUCUCAGGCUUCUUGGACAUGUCAGAGGUACCCCUUGUCCCGCGGAGUGUCCAGCCCUCCUUUCUGGGGUAAUGACCCUUCAGAACUCAGCGUCCCCGUGGACUCAUUCUGGCUCUUGAGGCUGAUCAGCCUGCUGGGACAAGAUGGACUAGGCAAGGCUGACCCCUCUGCUGGGAAGAGUGUCACAGAGUCCUCUCUCAACAAACCUCUCCCUCCUUCAAGACCCAGCUGCCAUGCCACCUCUUCCAUGCAGCCUUCCCAGAUCUCCCAAAUAGAAAAGCUGACUUCUUCCAGGAAUGCCCUGUGCUUGUCUUAUGUUGUUGUCUUAUCUUUUUUCUUCAUUUUUCUCUCUUAUCCUUUUUCAUGCUCACUGCAACUAAUGACAUAAUGCAACGAUUAAUAAAAAAAAUCAGUAGGGACGCCUGGGUGGCUCAGUGAGUUAAAGCCUCUGCCUUCGGCUCAGGUCAUGAUCCCAGGGUCCUGGGAUCGAGCCCCACAUUGGGCUCUCUGCUUGGCGGUGGGCCUGCAUCCCCCCUCACCCGGCCCGCCUGCCUCUCUGCCUAUGUGUGAUCGCUGUCAAAUAAAUAAA
Lutra lutra (Eurasian river otter) is the source of this 925-nucleotide long non-coding RNA. RefSeq lists it as uncharacterized. The transcript has 2 exons. NCBI's taxonomy places the organism in Eukaryota, Metazoa, Chordata, Mammalia, Carnivora, Mustelidae. The record is from RefSeq and is a predicted model, not a curated record.